This is a long non-coding RNA of Apodemus sylvaticus (European woodmouse), 1528 nucleotides long. RefSeq lists it as uncharacterized. NCBI's taxonomy places the organism in Eukaryota, Metazoa, Chordata, Mammalia, Rodentia, Muridae. The transcript is spliced from 4 exons. The record is from RefSeq and is a predicted model, not a curated record.
CCAGUUUGUGCUGCCUGGCACUCUUGGAUGCGUGGUUUUAGACUAUAGCAUGAUUGACAUACCAGGGGCCACACCCUCAGUCAUGAUACGCAUCAACUGAUGAGAGGAUGACCAAACUGUUGUGCAUUUACACAAAGGAAUAUUAUUCAUGUGUUAAGAAAAAUGACAUUGUGAGAACUGCAGGCAAAUGGAUAGAAUUGGAAACAAUCAUUCUCAGAGAGAAGCUCCGGACUGGUGGGCAGAGAGGAAUGUGAAUGACUCCAAGAGCCUUUAGUGGGAGUGAGGAUGCCAGUCACUCUCUCAAGAGCAAAGACUUCUAUAAACAUCAGGCACAUUGGCCAGAGAUUGAGGGUGGAUAGAGAAGACAGAAAGCUCCUUGAGUUGGUUGGAGAAGAGUGAGACAUCUGCACUUGAUCUCAUCGAGCGCUGUUUUCCUGGUUUUCGAUAUUACCCAGCGAUCUGUUUGGAGAGUAACCUGCACAAGAUGAGACAGGGUGGUUGCACUAGCUUCAUGUAUGGUCUUUUGAAUUUAAAUUUUGUUUUGCUUUGAGAAUCCUAUUAAUGAGUACUGUAUUGAGAUAGUUUUUAUUCCUUCCUCUCCCCAACUGCUCCCAUGCCCCUCCCUCUCCCUCUCAAAUUCAUGACCUCUUCUUUAAUAUAUAUUAAAUCUAUCUAUCUAUCUAUCUAUCUAUCUAUCUAUCUAUCUAUCUACUGAGUCCACUUAGUGUUCAUGUGCACAUGUGUAAAAGGGUUCUUGUCUCUGGAAAAUAGGAACUGGUUCUCCUUCUCUCAGCUGUCAUUGAUUAUCUAUAGCUCUUCAUCUAGGAAUAGAACCUUGUGAAAUAACCCCUACCCAUGUCAACUGAUAGUGUCAUUAUGCAGGUCUUGUUUAGGUAACCUUAUUAUUGAGAUUUCAUGGCCACUUUCCUGUCAUGUCUACAAGAUAUAUCAGCUUAACAGGAGGCAUCCUGGUCCUCUGGCCCUUACAGUCUCUUAGCAUCUCUUCUAGAAUGGUCCACAAGCUUUCAGUGUAGGGCUUGUUGUACUCAUUUAGAUGUAUGAGUUGAGGCUGGGCAACCUAUAGGCACCUGAAAUUUUGAUCAGCGGUGAAUCUUGUAGUAAUUAUAUAUAUGUAAAAAGGAAGUUUCUUUGAUGAGGGAUGAGAGGUAGAUUUAUUUGUGAACAUAAGAAUAAGUACUUAAAAUACAGCUCAAAAUUUUAUUAGUUUAGGAAAAUGACAGCAGUCAACCAGAGACAUGAGUUAUUCAGCCAAGGAUAUUUGGGUACAUUUUCAUACAAAUUCCUUCUUACUGAGAAGACUUGAGUCUAAUUAGACAGCUGUUGGUUAGCCUUAAGAUAAAAGUAUCACUGUUAGCUCUGAAUACCCAAGGUACAAUUAGCGUAAUAAAUGACUCCCAUGAAGAAGUAAGGAGAGGGUCCUGAUGCUAGAAAGGCUUGAUCUAGCAUUGGAGGGGGGUAUCAGGACAGAGAAAAAGGAGAGAGGUGAUUGGAGAAUGGGUGGAGAGAA